RNAcentral lists this ribosomal RNA (592 nucleotides) under Photobacterium sp. RNAcentral's name for it is "bacterial SSU rRNA". It matches the Rfam family "Bacterial small subunit ribosomal RNA", at positions 366 to 948 of the family's 1533-position model. Lineage: Bacteria; Pseudomonadati; Pseudomonadota; Gammaproteobacteria; Vibrionales; Vibrionaceae. The record is from RNAcentral.
GCACAAUGGGGGRAAACCCUGAUGCAGCCAUGCCGCGUGUGUGAAGAAGGCCUUCGGGUUGUAAAGCACUUUCAGUCGUGAGGAAGGCAUAUGCGUUAAUAGCGUAUGUGUUUUGACGUUAGCGACAGAAGAAGCACCGGCUAACUCCGUGCCAGCAGCCGCGGUAAUACGGAGGGUGCGAGCGUUAAUCGGAAUUACUGGGCGUAAAGCGCAUGCAGGCGGCUUGUUAAGCCAGAUGUGAAAGCCCGGGGCUCAACCUCGGAAUAGCAUUUGGAACUGGCAGGCUAGAGUCUUGUAGAGGGGGGUAGAAUUUCAGGUGUAGCGGUGAAAUGCGUAGAGAUCUGAAGGAAUACCGGUGGCGAAGGCGGCCCCCUGGACAAAGACUGACGCUCAGAUGCGAAAGCGUGGGGAGCAAACAGGAUUAGAUACCCUGGUAGUCCACGCCGUAAACGAUGUCUACUUGGAGGUUGGKGYCUUGAACACUGGCUUUYGGAGCUAACGCGUUAAGUAGACCGCCUGGGGAGUACGGUCGCAAGAUUAAAACUCAAAUGAAUUGACGGGGGCCCGCACAAGCGGUGGAGCAUGUGGUUUA